This 737-nucleotide non-coding RNA is filed under the name Pan troglodytes (chimpanzee). The record is from RNAcentral. Lineage: Eukaryota; Metazoa; Chordata; Mammalia; Primates; Hominidae.
AUCCCACCGAGGCCACCAUAGACCAGCCAGCCCUCAGCGUACAUGCCAGCUAAUUACAGAUGCAGGAGCAAACCCCUGGCCCAUACAUCAAUUUUAAUGUCAUUGAAUACAGAGAACAAAUCUCAUUCAUUUUGGUAUCGGCUCAAGUCAACAAACAUUUAAAAAUCAUUUACUGCAUCUGAUUUUGGGUAUGUUGAAUUGGUGACGUCUGAGUUGCUUCUGGUCUAUCCUGAUAGAAACAUACAGUAAACAGAGAAAAAAAAGGGUCUCAGGUGAGAUGAUGUAUGGGAAUGCUCAGCAUACAGAAUGAAUGGAUAAGAGGCCUGAAAACAUAAUCCUGUAAACAACCAUAUUGAAAGAGAAGACAGAAGACAUCAAACAGAUUUUGAGUCUUGCUCUAUGGCCCAGACUGGAGUGCAGUGGCGUGAUCUUGGCUCACUUCAACCUCCACCUCCCGGGUUCGAGAGAGAUUCUCCUGCCUCAUCCUCCCGAGUAGCUGGGAUCACCGGCGCCCACAACCACACCCGACUAAUUUUUGUACUUUUAGUGGAGACAGGGUUUCACCAUGUUGGCUAGGCUGGUCACAAACUCCCGACCUCAGGUUAUCCAUCUGCCUUGGCCUCCCAAAGUGCUGGGAUUACAGGCGUGAGCCCCCGCACCUGGCCAAGAUCAGCUAGAUUUUGGAAGCAUUGCCUUCUACAGAAUCCACAGUAGUCCGAAGUUCUUCUACGGUUUUU